Molecule: ribosomal RNA, 192 nt
Filed under: uncultured bacterium
Lineage: Bacteria
Description: partial 16S ribosomal RNA
Rfam family: Bacterial small subunit ribosomal RNA
Source: RNAcentral
CUACGGGAGGCAGCAGUGGGGAAUUUUGGACAAUGGGCGAAAGCCUGAUCCAGCAAUGCCGCGUGUGUGAAGAAGGCCUUCGGGUUGUAAAGCACUUUUGUCCGGAAAGAAAUGGCUCUGGUUAAUACCUGGGGUCGAUGACGGUACCGGAAGAAUAAGGACCGGCUAACUACGUGCCAGCAGCCGCGGUAA